CCUACGGGAGGCAGCAGUAAGGAAUAUUGGCCAAUGGACGCAAGUCUGAACCAGCUAUGCCGCGUGAAGGAUUAAGGUCCUCUGGAUUGUAAACUUCUUUUAUCUGGGACGAAAAAAGGUCUUUCUAGACCCCUUGACGGUACCAGAUGAAUAAGCACCGGCUAACUCCGUGCCAGCAGCCGCGGUAAUACGGAGGGUGCAAGCGUUAUCCGGAUUCACUGGGUUUAAAGGGUGCGUAGGCGGGUAGGUAAGUCAGUGGUGAAAUCCUGGAGCUCAACUCCAGAACUGCCAUUGAUACUAUCUAUCUUGAAUAUUGUGGAGGUAAGCGGAAUAUGUCAUGUAGCGGUGAAAUGCUUAGAUAUGACAUAGAACACCCAUUGCGAAGGCAGCUUACUACGCAUAUAUUGACGCUGAGGCACGAAAGCGUGGGGAUCAAACAGGAUUAGAUACCCUGGUAGUCCACGCCCUAAACCGAUGGAUACUCGACAUACGCGAUACACUGUGUGUGUCUGAGAGAAGANAUAAGUAUCCACCGUCGGAAGUACGUUCGUCGAGAAGUAGAACGUACGAAAGAAGUUAGUACGGACGUUAGAGACGAGCCGACGGACGACGACGAGGGAGGAGG
Molecule: ribosomal RNA, 625 nt
Filed under: uncultured bacterium
Lineage: Bacteria
Description: bacterial SSU rRNA
Rfam family: Bacterial small subunit ribosomal RNA (bases 1-534)
Source: RNAcentral